GUGCUCGCUUCGGCAGCACAUAUACUAAAGUUGGAACGAUACAGAGAAGAUCAGCAUGGCCCCUGUGCAAGGAUGACACGCAGAUUCGUGAAGCGUUCCAUAUUUUU
RNAcentral lists this small nuclear RNA (107 nucleotides) under Ornithorhynchus anatinus (platypus). The record is from RNAcentral. Lineage: Eukaryota; Metazoa; Chordata; Mammalia; Monotremata; Ornithorhynchidae.